GUUCUUCCGGCGCCUUUUCUAGCGGCGGACGGGUGAGUAACACGUGGGCAACCUGCCUCAUAGAGGGGAAUAGCCUUCCGAAAGGAAGAUUAAUACCGCAUAACAUUGUUGAAAGGCAUCUUUUAACAAUCAAAGGAGCAAUCCGCUAUGAGAUGGGCCCGCGGCGCAUUAGCUAGUUGGUGAGGUAACGGCUCACCAAGGCGACGAUGCGUAGCCGACCUGAGAGGGUGAUCGGCCACAUUGGAACUGAGACACGGUCCAGACUCCUACGGGAGGCAGCAGUGGGGAAUAUUGCACAAUGGGGGAAACCCUGAUGCAGCAACGCCGCGUGAGUGAUGAAGGUCUUCGGAUUGUAAAGCUCUGUCUUUAGGGACGAUAAUGACGGUACCUAAGGAGGAAGCCACGGCUAACUACGUGCCA
RNAcentral lists this ribosomal RNA (420 nucleotides) under Sarcina ventriculi. Its description in RNAcentral is "bacterial SSU rRNA". It matches the Rfam family "Bacterial small subunit ribosomal RNA", at positions 75 to 510 of the family's 1533-position model. The record is from RNAcentral. Lineage: Bacteria; Bacillati; Bacillota; Clostridia; Eubacteriales; Clostridiaceae.